GCGGGCGCCGGUUCGGCUUCGGGCGCCCGGCGUACCGGCAGGCGCGCCUCGCGCACCUGGCGCGCGGCGGCGCGCAGCUCGCCGCGCCCGCCC
Molecule: transfer RNA, 93 nt
Filed under: Bordetella bronchiseptica
Lineage: Bacteria; Pseudomonadati; Pseudomonadota; Betaproteobacteria; Burkholderiales; Alcaligenaceae
Also listed under: 2 other names
Description: tRNA-???(ac)
Source: RNAcentral